GGGAUGUAGAUCAGUGGUACAGUGCUUGCUUACUAUGCAUAAGACCCUGGGUUCAAUCCCCAGCACCACCU
This 71-nucleotide transfer RNA is filed under the name Marmota monax (woodchuck). Its description in RNAcentral is "tRNA.Ser". The record is from RNAcentral. Lineage: Eukaryota; Metazoa; Chordata; Mammalia; Rodentia; Sciuridae.